GAUGAACGCUGGCGGCGUGCCUAAUACAUGCAAGUCGAGCGAACGGACGAGAAGCUUGCUUCUCUGAUGUUAGCGGCGGACGGGUGAGUAACACGUGGAUAACCUACCUAUAAGACUGGGAUAACUUCGGGAAACCGGAGCUAAUACCGGAUAAUAUUUUGAACCGCAUGGUUCAAAAGUGAAAGACGGUCUUGCUGUCACUUAUAGAUGGAUCCGCGCUGCAUUAGCUAGUUGGUAAGGUAACGGCUUACCAAGGCAACGAUGCAUAGCCGACCUGAGAGGGUGAUCGGCCACACUGGAACUGGGACACGGUCCAGACUCCUACGGGAGGCAGCAGCAGGGAAUCUUCCGCAAUGGGCGAAAGCCUGACGGAGCAACGCCGCGUGAGUGAUGAAGGUCUUCGGAUCGUAAAACUCUGUUAUUAGGGAAGAACAUAUGUGUAAGUAACUGUGCACAUCUUGACGGUACCUAAUCAGAAAGCCACGGCUAACUACGUG
This 497-nucleotide ribosomal RNA is filed under the name uncultured bacterium. Its description in RNAcentral is "partial 16S ribosomal RNA". It matches the Rfam family "Bacterial small subunit ribosomal RNA", at positions 28 to 507 of the family's 1533-position model. The record is from RNAcentral.